This 279-nucleotide small RNA is filed under the name Arabidopsis thaliana (thale cress). Its description in RNAcentral is "ATSL023370". Lineage: Eukaryota; Viridiplantae; Streptophyta; Magnoliopsida; Brassicales; Brassicaceae. The record is from RNAcentral.
UUUCUAAAACUACGAAAUAAAGUUGGUAAAGCAAAUAAUAUAACGAUUGUGUUUUUCUUUUUUUUUGAAAUCCAGGAGGUUCUGGACCGAAGCCUCUAAUUCCCCAGGUCCAAAACCACAGCAUGUAAUAUUAGUUUCGUCCCAAGCGUCACUCGAACCGGCGACUUCUAAGUUUCGCGUAGGAUUUUUACCAAUUGAGCUAACGACACUUGGUAUAGCGAUUGUGUUUUGCUUGUUAGUUUUUAAGUGUUUUUCUUUUUUUGAAUUUUGUCUUUUUUA